Molecule: ribosomal RNA, 603 nt
Filed under: Listeria monocytogenes
Lineage: Bacteria; Bacillati; Bacillota; Bacilli; Caryophanales; Listeriaceae
Description: bacterial SSU rRNA
Rfam family: Bacterial small subunit ribosomal RNA
Source: RNAcentral
AUGCCACGCUUUUGAAAGAUGGUUUCGGCUAUCGCUUACAGAUGGGCCCGCGGUGCAUUAGCUAGUUGGUAGGGUAAUGGCCUACCAAGGCAACGAUGCAUAGCCGACCUGAGAGGGUGAUCGGCCACACUGGGACUGAGACACGGCCCAGACUCCUACGGGAGGCAGCAGUAGGGAAUCUUCCGCAAUGGACGAAAGUCUGACGGAGCAACGCCGCGUGUAUGAAGAAGGUUUUCGGAUCGUAAAGUACUGUUGUUAGAGAAGAACAAGGAUAAGAGUAACUGCUUGUCCCUUGACGGUAUCUAACCAGAAAGCCACGGCUAACUACGUGCCAGCAGCCGCGGUAAUACGUAGGUGGCAAGCGUUGUCCGGAUUUAUUGGGCGUAAAGCGCGCGCAGGCGGUCUUUUAAGUCUGAUGUGAAAGCCCCCGGCUUAACCGGGGAGGGUCAUUGGAAACUGGAAGACUGGAGUGCAGAAGAGGAGAGUGGAAUUCCACGUGUAGCGGUGAAAUGCGUAGAUAUGUGGAGGAACACCAGUGGCGAAGGCGACUCUCUGGUCUGUAACUGACGCUGAGGCGCGAAAGCGUGGGGAGCAAACAGGAUU